ACAAAUUUCCUGAAAUACAUAAUUUUGAGUUUGGAGAAAUUUUGAUAAUUUUUGAUGACCGUGUCUCUAUAUCACAACCUUUUCUUUUUACAUUUUCAGGAGAACAAUUUC
RNAcentral lists this small RNA (111 nucleotides) under Arabidopsis thaliana (thale cress). Its description in RNAcentral is "ATSL059190". Lineage: Eukaryota; Viridiplantae; Streptophyta; Magnoliopsida; Brassicales; Brassicaceae. The record is from RNAcentral.